This 327-nucleotide ribosomal RNA is filed under the name uncultured eukaryote. RNAcentral describes it as "partial 18S ribosomal RNA". It matches the Rfam family "Eukaryotic small subunit ribosomal RNA", at positions 1470 to 1796 of the family's 1831-position model. The record is from RNAcentral.
CCCUUAGAUGUCCGGGGCCGCACGCGCGCUACAAUGGAUGAAUCAACGCGUCAUCCUGGCCCGAAAGGGUUGGGGAACCGCUGAACCUCAUCCGUGGUUGGGAUUGGGGUUUGUAAUUAUUCCCCAUGAACUAGGAAUUCCCAGUAAGCGCGAGUCAUAAGCUCGCGUUGAUUACGUCCCUGCCCUUUGUACACACCGCCCGUCGCUACUACCGAUUGGAUGGUUUAGUGAGAUCCUCGGAUUGGUCACGGCACGGUGGCAACACUGCGUCGGUGUGCCGAGAAGACGAUCAAACUUGAUCAUCUAGAGGAAGUAAAAGUCAUAACA